Molecule: ribosomal RNA, 1423 nt
Filed under: Limosilactobacillus fermentum
Lineage: Bacteria; Bacillati; Bacillota; Bacilli; Lactobacillales; Lactobacillaceae
Description: bacterial SSU rRNA
Rfam family: Bacterial small subunit ribosomal RNA
Source: RNAcentral
UGCAGUCGAACGCGUUGGCCCAAUUGAUUGAUGGUGCUUGCACCUGAUUGAUUUUGGUCGCCAACGAGUGGCGGACGGGUGAGUAACACGUAGGUAACCUGCCCAGAAGCGGGGGACAACAUUUGGAAACAGAUGCUAAUACCGCAUAACAGCGUUGUUCGCAUGAACAACGCUUAAAAGAUGGCUUCUCGCUAUCACUUCUGGAUGGACCUGCGGUGCAUUAGCUUGUUGGUGGGGUAAUGGCCUACCAAGGCGAUGAUGCAUAGCCGAGUUGAGAGACUGAUCGGCCACAAUGGGACUGAGACACGGCCCAUACUCCUACGGGAGGCAGCAGUAGGGAAUCUUCCACAAUGGGCGCAAGCCUGAUGGAGCAACACCGCGUGAGUGAAGAAGGGUUUCGGCUCGUAAAGCUCUGUUGUUAAAGAAGAACACGUAUGAGAGUAACUGUUCAUACGUUGACGGUAUUUAACCAGAAAGUCACGGCUAACUACGUGCCAGCAGCCGCGGUAAUACGUAGGUGGCAAGCGUUAUCCGGAUUUAUUGGGCGUAAAGAGAGUGCAGGCGGUUUUCUAAGUCUGAUGUGAAAGCCUUCGGCUUAACCGGAGAAGUGCAUCGGAAACUGGAUAACUUGAGUGCAGAAGAGGGUAGUGGAACUCCAUGUGUAGCGGUGGAAUGCGUAGAUAUAUGGAAGAACACCAGUGGCGAAGGCGGCUACCUGGUCUGCAACUGACGCUGAGACUCGAAAGCAUGGGUAGCGAACAGGAUUAGAUACCCUGGUAGUCCAUGCCGUAAACGAUGAGUGCUAGGUGUUGGAGGGUUUCCGCCCUUCAGUGCCGGAGCUAACGCAUUAAGCACUCCGCCUGGGGAGUACGACCGCAAGGUUGAAACUCAAAGGAAUUGACGGGGGCCCGCACAAGCGGUGGAGCAUGUGGUUUAAUUCGAAGCUACGCGAAGAACCUUACCAGGCCUUGACAUCUUGCGCCAACCCUAGAGAUAGGGCGUUUCCUUCGGGAACGCAAUGACAGGUGGUGCAUGGUCGUCGUCAGCUCGUGUCGUGAGAUGUUGGGUUAAGUCCCGCAACGAGCGCAACCCUUGUUACUAGUUGCCAGCAUUAAGUUGGGCACUCUAGUGAGACUGCCGGUGACAAACCGGAGGAAGGUGGGGACGACGUCAGAUCAUCAUGCCCCUUAUGACCUGGGCUACACACGUGCUACAAUGGACGGUACAACGAGUCGCGAACUCGCGAGGGCAAGCAAAUCUCUUAAAACCGUUCUCAGUUCGGACUGCAGGCUGCAACUCGCCUGCACGAAGUCGGAAUCGCUAGUAAUCGCGGAUCAGCAUGCCGCGGUGAAUACGUUCCCGGGCCUUGUACACACCGCCCGUCACACCAUGAGAGUUUGUAACACCCAAAGUCGGUGGGGUA